UACGUAGGGGGCAAGCGUUGUCCGGAUUUAUUGGGCGUAAAGAGCUCGUAGGCAGUUCCGUAAGUCGGGUGUGAAAAAUCUGGGCUCAACCCAGUGGAGCACCCGAUACUGCGGUGACUCGAGUCCGGUAGGGGAGUGUGGAAUUCCUGGUGUAGCGGUGAAAUGCGCAGAUAUCAGGAGGAACACCGGUGGCGAAGGCGGGUCUCUGGGCCGAUACUGACGCUGAGGAGCGAAAGCGUGGGGAGCAAACAGG
Molecule: ribosomal RNA, 253 nt
Filed under: uncultured bacterium
Lineage: Bacteria
Description: partial 16S ribosomal RNA
Rfam family: Bacterial small subunit ribosomal RNA
Source: RNAcentral